UUGAACGCUGCCGGCAGGCCUAACACAUGCAAGUCGAGCGGUAACAGGGGUAGCUUGCUACCCGCUGACGAGCGGCGGACGGGUGAGUAAUGCAUAGGAAUCUGCCCGAUAGUGGGGGAUAACCUGGGGAAACCCAGGCUAAUACCGCAUACGUCCUACGGGAGAAAGGGGGCUUCGGCUCUCGCUAUUGGAUGAGCCUAUGUCGGAUUAGCUAGUUGGUGAGGUAAUGGCUCACCAAGGCAACGAUCCGUAGCUGGUCUGAGAGGAUGAUCAGCCACAUCGGGACUGAGACACGGCCCGAACUCCUACGGGAGGCAGCAGUGGGGAAUAUUGGACAAUGGGCGAAAGCCUGAUCCAGCCAUGCCGCGUGUGUGAAGAAGGCCCUCGGGUUGUAAAGCACUUUCAGCGAGGAAGAACGCCUAGUGGUUAAUACCCAUUAGGAAAGACAUCACUCGCAGAAGAAGCACCGGCUAACUCCGUGCCAGCAGCCGCGGUAAUACGGAGGGUGCAAGCGUUAAUCGGAAUUACUGGGCGUAAAGCGCGCGUAGGUGGCUUGAUAAGCCGGUUGUGAAAGCCCCGGGCUCAACCUGGGAACGGCAUCCGGAACUGUCAAGCUAGAGUGCAGGANAGGAAGGUAGAAUUCCCGGUGUAGCGGUGAAAUGCGUA
This 666-nucleotide ribosomal RNA is filed under the name Halomonas sp. E5.3. Its description in RNAcentral is "bacterial SSU rRNA". It matches the Rfam family "Bacterial small subunit ribosomal RNA", at positions 29 to 692 of the family's 1533-position model. Lineage: Bacteria; Pseudomonadati; Pseudomonadota; Gammaproteobacteria; Oceanospirillales; Halomonadaceae. The record is from RNAcentral.